UGCAUCUGCAGCUCAUGAGGAUGAGAACCUCCGGGGGCAGGGAGGUUCGACUCGAGCGAAGCGAGAGAACGUUGCGCCAGCA
This 82-nucleotide small RNA is filed under the name Escherichia coli. RNAcentral's name for it is "partial RtT sRNA". It matches the Rfam family "RtT RNA", at positions 1 to 78 of the family's 130-position model. From Rfam's summary of the family: This family represents a bacterial cis-regulatory element known as RtT RNA. The exact function of RtT is unknown although it is thought that it may be involved in changing the cellular response in relation to amino acid starvation. Lineage: Bacteria; Pseudomonadati; Pseudomonadota; Gammaproteobacteria; Enterobacterales; Enterobacteriaceae. The record is from RNAcentral.